RNAcentral lists this ribosomal RNA (492 nucleotides) under uncultured bacterium. RNAcentral describes it as "partial 16S ribosomal RNA". It matches the Rfam family "Bacterial small subunit ribosomal RNA", at positions 29 to 507 of the family's 1533-position model. The record is from RNAcentral.
AGUGAACGCUGGCGGUAGGCCUAACACAUGCAAGUCGAACGGCAGCACAGUAAGAGCUUGCUCUUACGGGUGGCGAGUGGCGGACGGGUGAGGAAUACAUCGGAAUCUACUUUUUCGUGGGGGAUAACGUAGGGAAACUUACGCUAAUACCGCAUACGACCUACGGGUGAAAGCAGGGGAUCUUCGGACCUUGCGCGAUUGAAUGAGCCGAUGUCGGAUUAGCUAGUUGGCGGGGUAAAGGCCCACCAUGGCGACGAUCCGUAGCUGGUCUGAGAGGAUGAUCAGCCACACUGGAACUGAGACACGGUCCAGACUCCUACGGGAGGCAGCAGUGGGGAAUAUUGGACAAUGGGCGCAAGCCUGAUCCAGCCAUACCGCGUGGGUGAAGAAGGCCUUCGGGUUGUAAAGCCCUUUUGCUGGGAAAGAAAAGCAGCAGGUUAAUACCCCGCUGUUCUGACGGUACCCAAAGAAUAAGCACCGGCUAACUUCGUG